Molecule: long non-coding RNA, 2101 nt
Organism: Myotis daubentonii (Daubenton's bat)
Lineage: Eukaryota; Metazoa; Chordata; Mammalia; Chiroptera; Vespertilionidae
Exons: 2
Source: RefSeq, a predicted model, not a curated record
AACUAGUUUAAAUCACUGAACGGGUGCUUUGGGGAUGUGAGCCAAAGGGGCAAUAUUUUUCUGAGAGAUUUUCUUAUCACAACCUGGAUCCCAGCUAUAGAUCCGAUGGAUAAAACCGAAUGCUUUGUUUUUUGUUGUUGUUUUGUUUUUGCACCGGUGCCCGCCCCACUCCCCACCCCCGCUGCACAGGGCCAAGGGGAGGCUGACCAGGUUGGUUUUGAUCUGAUAAACGUACGCAUCUCCCCCCACACCCCAGGGGGGGUCAGCACCCCUCCGCAUGUUUAAAACUGAGUGCUUUGAAUAUCCUGGGAUCCACUGCCAUCUUUUUCUCUUUUUUUUUAACUUUCAAAUUUUCACCAGUUUCUUCAUUCAGGUUGCGUUAUCAACUGAGGACAAUGGAAUUAGCCUAGUGCAGAUUUAGCCUUGGAUUUAUUUUGGAAGGUAGUUGUUGCCUCCCGAGAUGGUAACCAUGGCGGGUGGAGGACACUCAGAAAGGCGACAGACGUGAACUGUGAAGCACCAGCCAGGCAGGUGGCGCUCUCAGGACCCACACAGAGCAGGCCGCGCCCACCUCAUUGGCUUUGUCCUUCUCUCCACCCCUUGUCUCACCAGGAGCUCCCCCCCCCCCCCCCCCACCACAGUCACUGCCCUCUGCUCCCUGGAUUGUAUUAUAGAGAUGUGCCUGUAUUGGAGAGCUUUUCCUCUCAGAGCCUGGAGGACUUCUGCCUCCCCUUACCAUUUUAAAAUCUGCUUUUCCUUCAAGACUUAGUGCAAAUACCACCUCUUCCAUGAAGCCAUUCCUGAUUUCCCCUUGCCCUCCACCCUGAUCAGUCCCAUUGUCUGCAUCUGCAUUGUGCAUUAUUUAUACUUUAAAAAAAAUAUUUUUAUUGCCCAGCUGGGCAUGGCUCAGGGGUUGAGUGUUGAUCCAGGAACCAAGAGGUCACAGUUCAAUUCCCCACCAGAGCACAUGCACGGGUUGCAGGCUCGAUCCCCAUAGGGGGCAUGUAGGAGGCAGCUAAUCAAUCAUUCUCUCUCAUCAUUGAUGUUUCUCUGUCCCUCUCCCUGGAUCUCUGAAAUCAAUAAAAAUAUAUACAUGUAUUUAUAUAGGUGUCCCUUGCUGGGGACUGAGCCUGCAGCCCAAGCAUGUGCCCUGACGGGGGUGAACCAGUUACUUCCUGGUUCACGGGCCGACACUCAGCCACUGAGCAGCAGCGGCCGGGCAUAUGCUUUCGUUAUAACCCUUACAGAUUUUUUCUCAGAUAUUUUUUAUGUAGAUUGUGAGAUUCUUGAGUACAGAAAUGUGUCUUCCUCAUUGUUUUGUCCAGUGUCUGGAAUAUAGUAGAUAUCAAUAACAUUUGUCAAAUAGAAUUAAUAAUAUGAUGUCACCUUUUUAGCGGGCUGCAUACCAAACACUGUCAUAUGCUUUACAUAGAUUAUUUCAUUGGAUCUUUUUUUUUUUGAUUGAUUACACUUGCACAUCCCCUACUGGGGAUUGAGCCUGCAACCUGGGCAUGUGCCCUUGACUGAAAUCGAACCUUGGACCCUUCAGUCCGCAGGCCGAUGCUCUAUCCACCGAGCCACACCAGCUAGGGCUGGAGCUAGAAUCAAACCUAGAUUCACCUGACUCUGACCCAGUGUCUUUCUGCCUUCUGAUGAGUGAGUGAAGGUGAGCUUUUACUGGGCUGUUUUAGGGGCUGCAGAUCCAAGCCCGGGGCAGAGCGCCCACAGGGAAGACGGCCUUUCAGAACGAGGCCCAGUCUCUGUGGACACAUGUCCGUGGAGCAAACACUAGGGAGCGUCUAGCUGCCAGACAGUCUGCCGAGGCUACAAAGAUGAGGACAAGACCUGCCCCAGGAGCUCACUGGCUGAGGGGCUGGAGGGGGGGCGACGGGCACCAGCAAAUACCAGCCAAGCCGGCGGUGAGAGGUGCUCCGGGAACCCAGGGGCCACCCAAGCUUGGGCUGGGUCCGUGGGAAAGCCCUCUGGAGGGGGUGGGAGCGUGACUGACGGCUGUCUGUAACCUUGACCCCUCCCCGUGCCCAGCCAUGAGAUGUGGGGUUGCCCCAUGGCUUUCAGAAGAGCAUUGUCACCUCUGGUACUU